Long non-coding RNA from Musca domestica (house fly), 235 nucleotides. RefSeq lists it as uncharacterized. Lineage: Eukaryota; Metazoa; Arthropoda; Insecta; Diptera; Muscidae. The transcript is spliced from 3 exons. The record is from RefSeq and is a predicted model, not a curated record.
CUGGGGACGAAUUGAAAGCCCUUUACUAUAAUAGAAAGGGUUAUUAUAGUAUAAAUGCAAUGGUGAUAUGUGACCAUAAAAUGCGUAUAACAUUUGUCGACGCUAGACAUCCCGGAAGCAACCAUGAUGCAUUUGUAUGGGAAAGGAGUGAUCCAGACAAGUGUAUGCAAAGGGAGUUUGACAAUGGAAAACGAAACUUUUGGAUUCUCGGGGAUGGAGGAUACAAAUUGAAGCC